AUCCUGGCUCAGGAUGAACGCUAGCGGCAGGCCUAACACAUGCAAGUCGAGGGGUAGAGUUAGCUUGCUAACUUGAGGCCGGCGCACGGGUGCGUAACGCGUAUGCAAUCUACCUUGUACAGGGGGAUAGCUCUUACAGGAGAAUAGCCCAGAGAAAUUUGGAUUAAUGCUCCAUGGUAUUAUGAGAUCACAUGGUUUUAUAAUUAAAGCUUCGGUGGUAAGAGAUGAGUAUGCGUCCUAUUAGCUAGAUGGUAAGGUAAUGGCUUACCAUGGCGACGAUAGGUAGGGGUCCUGAGAGGGAGAUCCCCCACACUGGUACUGAGACACGGACCAGACUCCUACGGGAGGCAGCAGUGAGGAAUAUUGGGCAAUGGAGGCAACUCUGACCCAGCCAUGCCGCGUGAAGGAAGACGGCCCUAUGGGUUGUAAACUUCUUUUAUACAGGAAGAAACCACUCUACGUGUAGAGUGCUGACGGUACUGUACGAAUAAGGAUCGGCUAACUCCGUGCCAGCAGCCGCGGUAAUACGGAGGAUCCAAGCGUUAUCCGGAAUCAUUGGGUUUAAAGGGUCCGUAGGUGGAUAAUUAAGUCAGAGGUGAAAGUUUGCGGCUCAACCGUAAAAUUGCCUUUGAUACUGGUUAUCUUGAGUUAUUGUGAAGUAGUUAGAAUAUGUAGUGUAGCGGUGAAAUGCAUAGAUAUUACAUAGAAUACCAAUUGCGAAGGCAGAUUACUAACAAUAUACUGACACUGAUGGACGAAAGCGUGGGUAGCGAACAGGAUUAGAUACCCUGGUAGUCCACGCCGUAAACGAUGGAUACUAGCUGUUGGGCUUCGGCUCAGUGGCUAAGCGAAAGUGAUAAGUAUCCCACCUGGGGAGUACGUUCGCAAGAAUGAAACUCAAAGGAAUUGACGGGGGCCCGCACAAGCGGUGGAGCAUGUGGUUUAAUUCGAUGAUACGCGAGGAACCUUACCAGGGCUUAAAUGUAGAUUGACAGAUUUAGAAAUAGAUCCUCCUUCGGGCUAGUUACAAGGUGCUGCAUGGUUGUCGUCAGCUCGUGCCGUGAGGUGUCAGGUUAAGUCCUAUAACGAGCGCAACCCCUGUUGUUAGUUGCCAGCGAGUAAUGUCGGGAACUCUAACAAGACUGCCGGUGCAAACCGUGAGGAAGGUGGGGAUGACGUCAAAUCAUCACGGCCCUUACGUCCAGGGCUACACACGUGCUACAAUGGCGGAUACAAAGGGCAGCUACUUGGUGACAAGAUGCUAAUCUCUAAAGUCCGUCUCAGUUCGGAUCGAAGUCUGCAACUCGACUUCGUGAAGCUGGAAUCGCUAGUAAUCGUAUAUCAGCAAUGAUACGGUGAAUACGUUCCCGGGCCUUGUACACACCCCCGUCAAGCCAUGGAAGCUGGGGGUACCUGAAGUCGGUGACCGCAAGGA
Molecule: ribosomal RNA, 1435 nt
Filed under: uncultured prokaryote
Description: partial 16S ribosomal RNA
Rfam family: Bacterial small subunit ribosomal RNA
Source: RNAcentral